ACACGUAGGUGGCAAGCGUUGUCCGGAAUUACUGGGUGUAAAGGGCGUGUAGGCGGGGAUGCAAGUCAGAUGUGAAAUUCCGGGGCUCAACCCCGGCACUGCAUCUGAAACUGUGUCUCUUGAGUGCUGGAGAGGAAAGCGGAAUUCCUAGUGUAGCGGUGAAAUGCGUAGAUAUUAGGAGGAACACCAGUGGCGAAGGCGGCUUUCUGGACAGUAACUGACGCUGAGGCGCGAAAGCGUGGGUAGCGAACAGGAUUAGAUACCCUGGUAGUCCACGCCGUAAACGAUGGAUACUAGGUGUAGGAGGUAUCGACCCCUUCUGUGCCGGAGUUAACACAAUAAGUAUCCCACCUGGGGAGUACGGCCGCAAGGUUGAAACUCAAAUGAAUUGACGGGG
Molecule: ribosomal RNA, 397 nt
Filed under: uncultured bacterium
Lineage: Bacteria
Description: partial 16S ribosomal RNA
Rfam family: Bacterial small subunit ribosomal RNA
Source: RNAcentral